GAAUCUUAGACAAUGGGGGAAACCCUGAUCUAGCCAUGCCGCGUGAGUGACGAAGGCCCUAGGGUCGUAAAGCUCUUUCAGCUGUGAAGAUAAUGACGGUAGCCGCAGAAGAAACCCCGGCCAACUCCGUGCCAGCAGCCGCGGUAAUACGGAGGGGGUUAGCGUUGUUCGGAAUUACUGGGCGUAAGGCGCACGUAGGCGGACCAUUAAGUCAGAGGUGAAAUCCCAGGGCUCAACCCUGGAACUGCCUUUGAUACUGGCGGUCUUGAGUCCGAGAGAGGUGAGUGGAAUUCGGAGUGUAGAGGUGAAAUUCGUAGAUAUUCGGAGGAACACAAGUGGCGAAGGCGGCUCACUGGCUCGAUACUGACGCUGAGGUGCGAAAGUGUGGGGAGCAAACAGG
This 400-nucleotide ribosomal RNA is filed under the name uncultured bacterium. Its description in RNAcentral is "bacterial SSU rRNA". It matches the Rfam family "Bacterial small subunit ribosomal RNA", at positions 359 to 776 of the family's 1533-position model. The record is from RNAcentral.